Molecule: long non-coding RNA, 302 nt
Organism: Ornithodoros turicata
Lineage: Eukaryota; Metazoa; Arthropoda; Arachnida; Ixodida; Argasidae
Exons: 3
Source: RefSeq, a predicted model, not a curated record
CGGAUUGCAUUCGACAAGCAUCUUAGGCAACCAUGUGGUCCCUGAUCAUUGCGGUAUUCGUCGUCCUCUGCAACGUAGGGACCCCCUCCUCCAGGCUGACCACAGAAUUGCCAGAUGAUGCCUACAAGUGGCGGCCCAUCAGCGUCUAUUUUGUCGUCGAUCACUUCUUUCACGGAAUGACAGGGUAUGAUCUCCAGAAAUAUGCAGAAAGUCAGGUGGCCAAGACAUCUUUAUUGUACACGUUAGUAAAUCGCAGGGGAUAUACAGAAAAGCUUCAUCCUCUCGUUUGGCCGAACUCAGCA